GAUGAACGNUGGCGGCGUGCUUAACACAUGCAAGUCGAACGGACUUUUAUUGAAGCCUAGCGAUAUAAAAGUUAGUGGCGGACGGGUGAGUAACGCGUGAAUAACCUGCCUUAUACUGGGGGACAACAGUUGGAAACGACUGCUAAUACCGUAUAAGCGCACGGUUCCGCAUGGAACAGUGUGAAAAACUCCGGUGGUAUAAGAUGGAUUCGCGUCUGAUUAGAUAGUUGGUGAGGUAACGGCUCACCAAGUCGACGAUCAGUAGCCGGCCUGAGAGGGUGAACGGCCACAUUGGGACUGAGACACGGCCCAAACUCCUACGGGAGGCAGCAGUCGGGAAUAUUGCACAAUGGAGGAAACUCUGAUGCAGUGACGCCGCGUACAGGAAGAAGGUCUUUGGAUUGUAAACUGUUGUCGAGAGGGAAGAAUAAAGACAGUACCUCUGGAGGAAGCUCCGGCAAACUACGUG
RNAcentral lists this ribosomal RNA (469 nucleotides) under uncultured bacterium. Its description in RNAcentral is "bacterial SSU rRNA". It matches the Rfam family "Bacterial small subunit ribosomal RNA", at positions 28 to 507 of the family's 1533-position model. The record is from RNAcentral.